Molecule: transfer RNA, 92 nt
Filed under: Thielaviopsis punctulata
Lineage: Eukaryota; Fungi; Ascomycota; Sordariomycetes; Microascales; Ceratocystidaceae
Description: Ceratocystis radicicola tRNA
Rfam family: tRNA
About the family: Transfer RNA (tRNA) molecules are approximately 80 nucleotides in length.
Source: Rfam by way of RNAcentral
GGGGAUGUGGUCUAGUGGUAUGACGGAUCCUUAGCAUCGUGUUUAAAACGAGUGUUUGGAUCAGGUCCGGGGUUCGAUUCCCCGCAUCUCCA